AGCAGUCGAGCGAAUGGAUUAAGAGCUUGCUCUUAUGAAGUUAGCGGCGGACGGGUGAGUAACACGUGGGUAACCUGCCCAUAAGACUGGGAUAACUCCGGGAAACCGGGGCUAAUACCGGAUAACAUUUUGAACCGCAUGGUUCGAAAUUGAAAGGCGGCUUCGGCUGUCACUUAUGGAUGGACCCGCGUCGCAUUAGCUAGUUGGUGAGGUAACGGCUCACCAAGGCAACGAUGCGUAGCCGACCUGAGAGGGUGAUCGGCCACACUGGGACUGAGACACGGCCCAGACUCCUACGGGAGGCAGCAGUAGGGAAUCUUCCGCAAUGGACGAAAGUCUGACGGAGCAACGCCGCGUGAGUGAUGAAGGCUUUCGGGUCGUAAAACUCUGUUGUUAGGGAAGAACAAGUGCUAGUUGAAUAAGCUGGCACCUUGACGGUACCUAACCAGAAAGCCACGGCUAACUACGUGCCAGCAGCCGCGGUAAUACUUAGGUGGCAAGCGUUAUCCGGAAUUAUUGGGCGUAAAGCG
Molecule: ribosomal RNA, 530 nt
Filed under: Bacillus sp. EGU41
Lineage: Bacteria; Bacillati; Bacillota; Bacilli; Caryophanales; Bacillaceae
Description: bacterial SSU rRNA
Rfam family: Bacterial small subunit ribosomal RNA
Source: RNAcentral